Molecule: ribosomal RNA, 505 nt
Filed under: Hypocreales sp. MS506
Lineage: Eukaryota; Fungi; Ascomycota; Sordariomycetes; Hypocreales
Description: eukaryotic LSU rRNA
Rfam family: 5.8S ribosomal RNA (bases 152-305)
Source: RNAcentral
ACUCCCAAACCCCUGUGAACAUACCUGAACGUUGCUUCGGCGGGAUCGCCCCGGCGCCCUCAGCGGCCCGGAUCCAGGCGCCCGCCGGAGGACCCAAACUCUUGCUUUGCAUUAGUGGCAUUCUCUGAGUCAAAACAAAAAAAUAAAUUAAAACUUUCAACAACGGAUCUCUUGGCUCUGGCAUCGAUGAAGAACGCAGCGAAAUGCGAUAAGUAAUGUGAAUUGCAGAAUUCAGUGAAUCAUCGAAUCUUUGAACGCACAUUGCGCCCGCCAGUAUUCUGGCGGGCAUGCCUGUCCGAGCGUCAUUUCAACCCUCAAGCCCCUACGGGUGCUUGGUGUUGGGGACCGGCCCUCCCACGAGGGCCGCCCCCGAAAUGCAGUGGCGACCUCGCCGCAGCCUCCCCUGCGUAGUAGCACAACCUCGCACCGGAGCGCGGAGACGGUCACGCCGUAAAACGCCCAACUUUUUUCAAGAGUUGACCUCGGAUCAGGUAGGAAUACCCGC